RNAcentral lists this ribosomal RNA (459 nucleotides) under uncultured bacterium. Its description in RNAcentral is "bacterial SSU rRNA". It matches the Rfam family "Bacterial small subunit ribosomal RNA", at positions 355 to 828 of the family's 1533-position model. The record is from RNAcentral.
UAGGGAAUAUUGGGCAAUGGGGGGAACCCUGACCCAGCAACGCCGCGUGAAGGAAGAAGGCAUUCGUGUUGUAAACUUCUUUGACCGGGGACGAAAGAAAUGACGGUACCCGGAAAACAAGCCACGGCUAACUACGUGCCAGCAGCCGCGGUAAUACGUAGGUGGCGAGCGUUGUCCGGAUUUACUGGGUGUAAAGGGCGCGUAGGCGGGAGGACAAGUCUGGCGUGAAAUGUAGGGGCUCAACCCCUGAACUGCGUUGGAAACUGUACUUCUUGAGUGAUGGAGAGGCAGGCGGAAUUCCUAGUGUAGCGGUGAAAUGCGUAGAUAUUAGGAGGAACACCAGUGGCGAAGGCGGCCUGCUGGACAUUAACUGACGCUGAGGCGCGAAAGCGUGGGGAGCAAACAGGAUUAGAUACCCUGGUAGUCCACGCUGUAAACGAUGAAUACUAGGUGUGGGGG